Molecule: long non-coding RNA, 3960 nt
Organism: Oryzias melastigma (Indian medaka)
Lineage: Eukaryota; Metazoa; Chordata; Actinopteri; Beloniformes; Adrianichthyidae
Exons: 5
Source: RefSeq, a predicted model, not a curated record
UAUUUUAUCAAAGGUUCCUUGUGUUGGGUUGGCAAUAUCUCAAGAAAGGGAGGCCCAUGGCUCAUAAGGAAUAAAUACCACAUAAAGUAUGUGAAUCUCUAAUGUCUCAUAAUGCUUCGCAAAUCUAUGCUGCCGUUUGUCAAGUUGGAAAUGUGUCAGAGAGAGGGAAAUCACAUCACGUGACAGCACUGCUUUGAUGGUCAAAAUGUCAUGAUUUUAUGACAAAAAUUAUCUUUCUACAGUGAUUUUUGCUGCAGACUUCGUCCAAAUUGUAGUGGGAAGCUUUAAAUACUUAACUGCAACAGAUUAAUGGCAUCAAGAAUAAUCCAAGUCAACAGCCUUUUCCUCUAUUUGGUAGAUUACCCCUUUGACAGAGCAGUCAAUCCCUCACUGUCGGAUCAUGCUGCCAAAAGUCAUCCAUCUACCUUUAGGAUUUCAGAGCAGAAACCGAGGCUGUGAGUCAGAGGCUCCCUCCAACUCCAUCUUCGUCACAGCAUUUUUGGGAAAGGGGGUAUCCAUUACAAUUUCUAGUCUGCUCCAUGUGCCCACAUCUCUUUCUAUUUUCAGCUCUGUUUUGAGUGGAAAGUUUGAUUGAUAAAGUACAGACUCACAGCGUGAACAGAGAUGAAGGAUUUUUUGAAUAUAAUAAGGAGGAACCAUUAAAAAUGCAUAUUAUCUCAUUAUUCUCACUGCCAAAUAACUGGAAAUAAUCUGCGCAAUAAGAUGGAAAAUGGAUUUUGCUUGUUUUCUCUUCCUGACCCGACAGAGGACACACAAAGAGGAGAGAAGGGAGGGAGGAGACUGAUCGUUUAAAAAAAAACUGCUCUAGUGCACUAAUGUCUGUGAAACCUGAGCUCAUAUUGGAUCUGAAGGACAACAUAAGACGAGCCCUCUCCUCUGCACUCCCUCUGUUUAAAGGGAAGGAGAGGCAAAAAAGCCUUCCAGCAGAGCCCAGUCCAGCUCAGUUCUUCUUCCUGUGAGCCUGUCCCCUCGUCUCUGCCGCCGGGCCAGUUCACCGACCCUUCCUGCAGAGCGGCUGCCCGUUGCUAGCUAGUCCCCGCCGGACGGACGGUUUUCCUGGAGAAGAAGAGACCAGCUUAAGAGUUCUGCGCUGCACCUGCGAUGAUGCUUUGGGGUCUUGACCUUCCUAAAAAGAGAGGCACUCAAGGUUUUGGGAGCAAUUCCAACUGCUCGUCUCCAGGAAAAAGGCAGCAUCCAGGAAGCUCAGGAAUGGAGACACCCACAAAACGCUUCACCACCACACAGGAACAGGCUUGUCCCCCACCUCCACGUGUUCAGGGUUCCUGCUCCAGAGACUGUAUCAUCAUGUGCUCUCUUGCAGGACCAAAGGCUAGGAGUCUAUUAAAAUCACAUGAGAAUCUAAUUAGGGACCUCUUUGUGCAGCAGACCUGGAGGUAGAAGUCAUUGGGGAGCAACUCUGCCAAGACCCUGACACUCGGGGAACACACUCGCCUUUGAUCCCCACGCUCACCCAGGAGAUGACAGAAAUCAAGAGAAACUGACUACACUGAUGUGUUUAGAUUUUGCCAACAACCAGAAAACUCAAGGACUCAUCAGCAGACAAUUACCAGCAUAGGUGGGUGGUUUUGACCCAGUGUCUGUAAGUAAGUAAAUUGUGAUUUAAGAAAAUAAAAAUGUCAAUAAAAAGGAAGAAUUGUGAAAAUAAGUUCCAGAUUCUUUCUGUUCCUCCUUCUACAGGUCAUGUUUGUAAAGUAUUAAUGGGAAGGUCAGGGGAGCGCUGACAUGAACUUUCACUGGGAGGCAUCUUUUGCCCCGCCGUGGUUUCGGGUAUGUCGUCAGUUCAACAAAGAACCAGCGGGCUCUUCUCUUAGCAUGCAAAUGAGACAGGGACAAAUGUCCCAUCACUUCUGGGGCUUCGUGUCCCAAAGUGCUUAACACUUUUCCUGUCAACCUAACACCCCCCCUCCCAACUCCCAUCAACCCCAGCUGCUUCAAAAAUCCAUCCUGAGCCUCCCUCACUCUUUUUUCUCCCAUCUUAUGUUCUUUAAAUGAGUUUCCGACUCCAUUCCUUUCUCACAAUUCAAUUUUACAAGGCCAUUAUCCUGGGUGUAAUGUGGAGGUUAAAUAUAUCGGGGCAGACAUUAUGUGAAAAUAAUUAGUGCUAAUGAAUAAUGCACUCAUUCAGCUGAUGAAGGAUGGUUGUCAGAGUAAUGGAGUUCAAGGGAGGGACCCCUCUGACAAAUGAAAUUAAAAUAUUUAAACACUGUUUUACAAUAUUACAAGGCCCUCACACUCUGUCCCCGCUCCCCCCCUGCGUGGAAUGGACCUGUCCCUGAAAUCUACCCCGCCAUUACUCAGGUGCAACAUCUGUGUCACUAAACAACAGCCAGGCACGAGUAAAUAUCUCAUCACCACACUUUACAUGGAAGAGGCUCUGUCCUGAUAAUGGCACAGAUCUUAUUGACAGCUGCUGUCUUUCUGUCCAAUUAUAUUUCCUCUCUGCUAUUUAUAACCACCAGCCUUUGAACAAUCUCACUCUGCAUCUUUUGCCAGACAGUGAAGGAUUUAGGGUUUAAAUUGCAUAGUUUAUUGUGUCUUUCCAGCCAAUUUGCUUUGAACAAUCAAUAAUGUGGAGCCCAGCAUUUUGUGACUGAUAAAUGGAGCCCCAUUUCUUCAGACAUGGAGAGGCCAAAAGAAAGUGACUUUGACAAGAGACAGAAAACGUAAACCUAUAGUAGGAGUACAGUACUCUACAAAAUAUAUCUGACUGGCUUUCAAAUUGAUCCGUUUGAGUUUAUCAUUAGAAGUUGGGUUUGAUUCUUGUUAUUCAGCAUUUCAGCCACCGUUUGUGCAGGGAUUUAAAAUAACAAUCUGUUUAGUCUUAUGUAGAGUUCGAACUUAUUACUUUGAAUGUAACAUUGACAAAACUAAAACGUUAACCUCUAAAACUGGAUUACAUUCAAGAAUGAAAUUCAGUUUUUUCCUCUGCAGGGUUAGAAGAUCCAAACUUCUUUAAUGUUUGCAGGAUGUUGGCAUUCUCUGAUUGAUUUUAUUUCCCAUUUUCUACUCAAUCAUGAGAAAAAUAAGUGUAUAUUUGUUUGAUUUUUUAAAACAAAAUAAUACUGAUGCAGAGGUGGAGGGGAAGUCCCAGAAAACAGGAAGUUAUGAUGGACAGAGAAAAGACGGACUAGCAAACUUUAGAAAAACUGGGGAUAGAGAGUGUUUUAUAUUGGCUUUAAAGCUGCAUGAUGGGAGUGGUGCGGUGGUGCAGUGGUUAGCGCUCUCACCUCACAGCGAGAAGGCCCUGGCCAAAUUCGUGGCUGGGACCGUCCCGUGUGGAGUUUGCAUGUUGUCCUCAUGCAUGUGUUCUCCAGGCACUUCAGUUUCCUCUCACAGUCCCAAAGCAUGCGUCAGGGGUUAGUUGGUGACUAAACUGUCCCUAGGUUCACUCAUUUGUGAGUGAGUGCUCCAGCGACAGGCUGGUGAUCUGUCUGUUCUUUGCCCUACAGUAAUCAGGACAGGCUCCAGCAACCCUGUGACCCCUAAAGGGAUAAAGAAAGUCAGGAAAAUGGAUGGAUGAAUUGCAUUAUGGAGAUUUGAGAAGUAAUGUUGUCAUGCAUCUAUACAAAUUGCCACAAUUCUUUUUUUCUUUUUCCUUUGCUUGAUUUGAAGGCAACACACUUGUGUGUCUUUUGGAAGAAAAAUCUUUUUGAAGUGUUGCGCAAGUUGUAAAAACAACCAGUUUGCAGAAGGCAAAGUCCAGUCUUUUAACAAUUUGACAAUAUUAAUAAAACAAACCAAAAAAGGCAAAUUAAGGACAGGACGCACUAACAUUAAGACAAACUUCAUGUUUGAAUGACUGUCCAGUGAACAAACCAUUGUUCAGACCAGAAUACAAUGGGAACAGGUCUCUUCCAAUCAAACAGAUUGUAGGCACUUAAAAAAUGGAAAUAAAUUUAAAACAAUUGAAAAAAGAAA